GUCGCUUCUCGGCCUUUUGGCUAAGAUCAAGUGUAGUAUUUGUUCUUAUCAGUUUAAUUUUCCAGAGUCAAGUAUAGCAUAUCACAUAUCAUCCUACUAUUUCUUUUAGUCUAAGACACUAAGCAUGUAUACUUCCUGAAUAGUACUACAUGAAAAGAAAUUUAUAAUUAUUUUCAUAGUUGAGUAAUAAAC
Molecule: small nuclear RNA, 192 nt
Organism: Suncus etruscus (white-toothed pygmy shrew)
Lineage: Eukaryota; Metazoa; Chordata; Mammalia; Eulipotyphla; Soricidae
Product: U2 spliceosomal RNA
Exons: 1
Source: RefSeq, a predicted model, not a curated record